This 83-nucleotide transfer RNA is filed under the name Candidatus Berkelbacteria bacterium. RNAcentral describes it as "tRNA-Leu". It matches the Rfam family "tRNA". Rfam says of the family: Transfer RNA (tRNA) molecules are approximately 80 nucleotides in length. Their secondary structure includes four short double-helical elements and three loops (D, anti-codon, and T loops). Lineage: Bacteria; Candidatus Berkelbacteria. The record is from RNAcentral.
GCCGGAGUGGUGGAACGGUAGACACGCUGGAUUCAGGUUCCAGUGCUCGCAAGAGCGUGGAGGUUCAACUCCUCUCUCCGGCA